This 1325-nucleotide long non-coding RNA is filed under the name Homo sapiens (human). RNAcentral's name for it is "long non-coding RNA NONHSAT162749.1". The record is from RNAcentral. Lineage: Eukaryota; Metazoa; Chordata; Mammalia; Primates; Hominidae.
CCUUCGCCAUGCCUUCGUCCUGGGGGUGGCCUGCAGUGUUGGUAGGGGACCCUGCCUUUCCUGGCCAUCCCCAUAGGCCACAGGCCCCUCCAGUAUGCUGCUCCUGCACGGUGCCCAGAGCCUGUUCCACCCCGCCAGGCACCUCUGUCCGUCACAUCGGCUGCACACAUCAGCUCUGCCCCACUCUGUGUUUCUGAAUUACUCUCACUGGCAACCAGCACAAGCUCUGCCCUCCCAGUGUCCUGAUAUCCUCUGGUUAAUAAGCAGCUCACAUAAAGACACCAAGAGCUGUUGCAAGUGGUAGAGAAAAGCCACAGCUCUCUGAAUACAGUCCAGGAAGCCCUGGACUUGGCCCAGGAACUUGGUGGCUGUUUCUGUUCUCUGCCCCUUGGUAGCCUUCCUCACCGGGUAUAAAAGGGAGAGAAGCUUGAAUCCUUACCCUGAGGCAUAGGAGACUACAAGGCAGUGAGGGGCUUAUUAGUCAAUGAGAGACUUUUGCUGAAGCUGGACGACCCUUCCUGGAGGAGUCCUCUUUUCUAAAAGAAAACAAAUUCCUGCCCUUUAUUCUUUCAAAUCUACUUCUAGAAAAGUCUUAGAGUUCCUGUUAAUUCAAACACCAAUCUCCCACCUUCCCUCUCUCCUGUCUCUAUGAGCUGCCUGGGCGGCACACUUCCUACCCACCUGCUCACUCCCUCCAUCUCCUAUACUGUUUUAUCCCCUGGAGUUUGGAGAUGUCCCUGUGGAAGGGGACAGUGGGGAGUGUGUGCCAGAUCCCCCCCGCCCAUUGUCACCUUGGUCUGAAUCCAACCCCACAAGGGGAGCUGGAGCCGUCUCCCUGCAUCUCCCUGGGCCUGCCCAUUGUCAAGGUCCUGGUCACCUUUGAAGCCUCCUGCAGGGAUCCCCAGUGCCAAUGGAGCCUUUUCCAAAGCCCAGUAGCAUGACAUUUUAGACUUGGAAAUCCCUAGACAAAUAAAUCUCACUUAAUCCUCACCAAGUUGGCCCCCAGUGGAGACAAUUGCUUAGCCAAGUUUAUCAGGUACCACUAGUUCUUGCAGCAAACAUUCCUUCUGUUCCAGGCAUUGUGCUCGGGUUGGCAAUACAGGAUAAACAAGACAAGGUCCCUGUCCUUGCGGAGCAACCAGACCAUCAGAAGAGACACACAUAAAACAGAGGGGCCUGCUCAUUUUGCAUGCCUCAUACCCAACAUUUCUCCACUCUCACAGGCUCUCCAAGUCCCUACUCUUGCCAUUUCCCAGCUCUGUAAUGUAAAUGGCUUACUGUAUGCCUCAGGCUCCUCAUCUGUAAAAUGGGGUUAUUAAUAGUAU